Molecule: ribosomal RNA, 460 nt
Filed under: uncultured bacterium
Lineage: Bacteria
Description: partial 16S ribosomal RNA
Rfam family: Bacterial small subunit ribosomal RNA
Source: RNAcentral
CCUACGGGCGGCAGCAGUGAGGAAUAUUGGUCAAUGGGCGCGAGCCUGAACCAGCCAAGUCGCGUGAGGGAUGACUGCCCUACGGGUUGUAAACUUCUUUUAUAAAGGAAUAAAGUGAGGCACGUGUGCCUUUUUGUAUGUACUUUAUGAAUAAGGAUCGGCUAACUCCGUGCCAGCAGCCGCGGUAAUACGGAGGAUCCGAGCGUUAUCCGGAUUUAGUGGGUUUAAAGGGAGCGUAGAUGGGUUGUUAAGUCAGCUGUGAAAGUUUGCGGCUCAACCGUAAAAUUGCAAUUGAUACUGGGAGUCUUGAGUACAGUUGAGGUAGGCGGAAUUCGUGGUGUAGCGGUGAAAUGCUUAGAUAUCACGAAGAACUCCGAUUGCGAAGGCAGCUUACUAAACUGCAACUGACACUGAUGCUCGAAAGUGUGGGGAUCAAACAGGAUUAGAUACCCUUGUAGUC